AAGGAAAUCAAUGAUGACGAGGAGACA
RNAcentral lists this non-coding RNA (27 nucleotides) under Bombyx mori (domestic silkworm). Lineage: Eukaryota; Metazoa; Arthropoda; Insecta; Lepidoptera; Bombycidae. The record is from RNAcentral.